Molecule: ribosomal RNA, 467 nt
Filed under: uncultured bacterium
Lineage: Bacteria
Description: partial 16S ribosomal RNA
Rfam family: Bacterial small subunit ribosomal RNA
Source: RNAcentral
GACGAACGCUGGCGGCGUGCUUAACACAUGCAAGUCGAACGGAAAGGCCCUGCUUUUGUGGGGUGCUCGAGUGGCGAACGGGUGAGUAACACGUGAGUAACCUGCCCUUGACUUUGGGAUAACUUCAGGAAACUGGGGCUAAUACCGGAUAGGAGCUCCUGCUGCAUGGUGGGGGUUGGAAAGUUUCGGCGGUUGGGGAUGGACUCGCGGCUUAUCAGCUUGUUGGUGGGGUAGUGGCUUACCAAGGCUUUGACGGGUAGCCGGCCUGAGAGGGUGACCGGCCACAUUGGGACUGAGAUACGGCCCAGACUCCUACGGGAGGCAGCAGUGGGGAAUAUUGCACAAUGGGCGGAAGCCUGAUGCAGCAACGCCGCGUGCGGGAUGACGGCCUUCGGGUUGUAAACCGCUUUCGCCUGUGACGAAGCGCGAGUGACGGUAAUGGGUAAAGAAGCACCGGCUAACUACGU